RNAcentral lists this ribosomal RNA (253 nucleotides) under uncultured bacterium. RNAcentral's name for it is "partial 16S ribosomal RNA". It matches the Rfam family "Bacterial small subunit ribosomal RNA", at positions 524 to 776 of the family's 1533-position model. The record is from RNAcentral.
UACAGAGGUCUCGAGCGUUGUUCGGAUUCAUUGGGCGUAAAGGGCGCGUAGGCGGCGGGGUAAGUCUGGUGUGAAAUCUCGGAGCUCAACUCCGAAAUUGCACUGGAUACUGCUCUGCUAGAGGGCUGGAGAGGAGAUCGGAAUUCACGGUGUAGCAGUGAAAUGCGUAGAUAUCAGGAGGAAUACCGAUGGCGAAGGCAGGUCUCUGGGCUAUAACUGACGCUCAUGCACGAAAGCGUGGGGAGCAAACAGG